This 458-nucleotide ribosomal RNA is filed under the name uncultured Rikenellaceae bacterium. RNAcentral describes it as "bacterial SSU rRNA". It matches the Rfam family "Bacterial small subunit ribosomal RNA", at positions 925 to 1382 of the family's 1533-position model. Lineage: Bacteria; Pseudomonadati; Bacteroidota; Bacteroidia; Bacteroidales; Rikenellaceae. The record is from RNAcentral.
ACAAGACGGAGGAACAUGUGGUUUAAUUCGAUGAUACGCGAGGAACCUUACCUGGGCUAGAACGCAUUCGGAAUCAGGCCGAAAGGCCUGCGCCAGCGAUGGCCGCUUGCGAGGUGCUGCAUGGUUGUCGUCAGCUCGUGCCGUGAGGUGUCGGGUUAAGUCCCAUAACGAGCGCAACCCCUACUGCUAGUUGCCAGCGGGUCAUGCCGGGGACUCUAGCGGAACUGCCAGCGUAAGCUGCGAGGAAGGUGGGGAUGACGUCAAAUCAGCACGGCCCUUACGUCCAGGGCUACACACGUGUUACAAUGGCCGGUACAGAGGGCAGCCACCCCGCGAGGGGGCGCGAAUCCCGAAAGCCGGUCCCAGUUCGGAUCGGAGUCUGCAACCCGACUCCGUGAAGCUGGAUUCGCUAGUAAUCGCGCAUCAGCCACGGCGCGGUGAAUACGUUCCCGGGCCUU